RNAcentral lists this ribosomal RNA (465 nucleotides) under uncultured bacterium. Its description in RNAcentral is "partial 16S ribosomal RNA". It matches the Rfam family "Bacterial small subunit ribosomal RNA", at positions 338 to 795 of the family's 1533-position model. The record is from RNAcentral.
CCUACGGGAGGCAGCAGUGGGGAAUUUUGGACAAUGGGCGCAAGCCUGAUCCAGCUAUUCCGCGUGUGGGAUGACGGCCCUCGGGUUGUAAACCACUUUAGUAGAGAACGAAAAGGAGCUAUCGAAUAAAUAGCUCUGCUGACGGUACUCUAAGAAUAAGCACCGGCUAACUACGUGCCAGCAGCCGCGGUAAUACGUAGGUGGCAAGCGUUAUCCGGAAUGACUGGGCGUAAAGGGUGCGUAGGUGGUUUAGUAAGUUGGCGGUGUAAUUCCGGGGCUCAACCUCGGCGCUACCGCCAAAACUAUUAGACGAGAGUGCAGGAGGGGUAAGUGGAAUUCCUAGUGUAGCGGUGGAAUGCGUAGAUAUUAGGAGGAACAUCAGGGGCGAAGGCGACUUACUGGACUGUAACUGACACUGAGGCACGAAAGCGUGGGGAGCAAACAGGAUUAGAUACCCGGGUAGUC